GAAGUUAUCAAAAGUAUUAUGGUGGUAAGUAGUAAAUACUCUCAGCGCCGUCUAUUUUAGCGUCUUCUAUUCUAGCUAACUUAGAUCACUAAAUAGUUGAGUCACUUAGGCAUCCCUGUAGUUUUGGAUCCUGUUAAUGGUUGAAAAAUACAGAAGCUGAGGCAAGCGAUUGUUUGUUGUCCUAUUUGAACUUUACUCUGAUCUUGCUAAUUUCAGACUUGAAGAACUCCAUUGACUUAAACCAAUGAAGAAUUAUGUCAUAAUUAUGCAUGAAUUUGCAUAUUUUAUAAAUAUUAGAAUUUUGGUCUCGAAGCUCUUUAGAAUUAAGGUGAACCACUAUUUAUUCUCCGAAAACCAAUAUUCAUUUUUGUUUGAAUUUUUGAAUUCAUACCUGAGCUUUUGUUAAAGUAGUAGGAGUGGUAGAC
Molecule: unclassified non-coding RNA, 425 nt
Filed under: Hevea brasiliensis (rubber tree)
Lineage: Eukaryota; Viridiplantae; Streptophyta; Magnoliopsida; Malpighiales; Euphorbiaceae
Source: RNAcentral